This 585-nucleotide ribosomal RNA is filed under the name uncultured bacterium. RNAcentral describes it as "bacterial SSU rRNA". It matches the Rfam family "Bacterial small subunit ribosomal RNA", at positions 63 to 643 of the family's 1533-position model. The record is from RNAcentral.
CCAGGGGUAACGAUGGUGCUUGCACCAGGCGACGACCGGCGCACGGGUGAGUAACACGUAUGCAACCUGCCUUUAACUGGGGGAUAGCUCCGAGAAAUCGGAAUUAAUACCCCAUAAUAUUUAAGAGUCGCAUGACUUUUAGAUUAAAGCUCCGGCGGUUAAAGAUGGGCAUGCGGGACAUUAGUUUGUUGGUGAGGUAACGGCUCACCAAGACUACGAUGUCUAUGGGGUCUUAAAGGAUGGUCCCACACACUGGUACUGAGACACGGACCAGACUCCUACGGGAGGCAGCAGUGAGGAAUAUUGGGCAAUGGGCGCAAGCCUGACCCAGCCAUACCGCGUGCAGGAUGACUGCCCUAUGGGUUGUAAACUGCUUUUGUACGGGAAGAAAAAGAUCUACGUGUAGAUAACUGACGGUACCGUACGAAUAAGGAUCGGCUAACUCCGUGCCAGCAGCCGCGGUAAUACGGAGGAUCCAGGCGUUAUCCGGAUUUAUUAGGUUUAAAGGGUGCGUAGGCGGAAUUGUAAGUCAGUGGUGAAAUCCUGCAGCUCAACUGUAGAACUGCCAUUGAUACUGCUAUUCUC